CAAAACAAUCUUCCAUAUGUUUCAAAAAAUGUAAAUAUUUUUUAUUUGUCCAUAAUCCGGCACAUACGAAGAAAAAAAAAUAUCGCUUCCAUUCUUCCUCUUUCCAGUUACAUCUCUAUGUAUCGAUCUAGCAAAACAAUCUUCCUCCUGUUUCGAAAAAUGUAAAUAUUUCUUAUUUGUCCAUAACCCGCCAUAGCAUUCUUCCAUUCUUCCUCUUUCCAGCUGCAUCUCUAUGUAUCGAUCUAGGAUCAUCUAGCUCAGACGAUCAGAUCCUAAUGAAGAGAAAAAAAAAUUGCAGAGAAAGUUGAUGAAGGUUGGUUAUUCGAUUGUAAAAUAUACGUGAGAAACUUUUUGGGUUUUACAUAUUGUAACUCCCCAGAUUGUUGAAGGAUGACAUUUUUGUUUUUGUUUGAAGAUAUGGUUGAAAGUUAUUGUAACAUUUAUUUUAUCAGUUUAUUUUUUUGAGAUUGGUACCAUUUAAUGGAUGUAACAUUUAAUUAAAGAGGAAAAAAUUGAUAGGGUUAAAAGGGGGCUACAA
Molecule: long non-coding RNA, 538 nt
Organism: Papaver somniferum (opium poppy)
Lineage: Eukaryota; Viridiplantae; Streptophyta; Magnoliopsida; Ranunculales; Papaveraceae
Exons: 3
Source: RefSeq, a predicted model, not a curated record